RNAcentral lists this ribosomal RNA (129 nucleotides) under Hydrocynus sp. RNAcentral describes it as "partial 12S ribosomal RNA". The record is from RNAcentral. Lineage: Eukaryota; Metazoa; Chordata; Actinopteri; Characiformes; Alestidae.
UAUCCGCCAGGAACUACGAGCGCUAGCUUAAAACCCAAAGGACUUGACGGUGUCUCAACCCCGCCUAGAGGAGCCUGUUCUAGAACCGAUAAUCCUCGUUCAACCUCACCAUCUUUUGCCCCCCCCCCC